This 1464-nucleotide long non-coding RNA is filed under the name Nothobranchius furzeri (turquoise killifish). RNAcentral's name for it is "lncRNA (ENSNFUG00015006296.1)". The record is from RNAcentral. Lineage: Eukaryota; Metazoa; Chordata; Actinopteri; Cyprinodontiformes; Nothobranchiidae.
AUGGAAGGCUUACACCCACCACCGGUUCUUCAGCUGAAUGGAAAUGUGGCUGAAAAUUGGAGAAGAUUUAAGCAACGUUUCACGUUGUACCUGUCAGCAACUGGACUCGACGAGGCAAGUGAUGAAAAGCAAGCGUCAGUGUUUUUGCAUGUAGUGGGUGAUGAGGCGCUGGAAGUCGAUAAUAACUUCACGUUUCCUGAUGGUGACGGAAUGAAGCUGGAUGAAAUAAUGGAGAAGUUUGAGGCUUACUGCAUACCUAAGAGAAAUGUGACGUUUGAGAAGUAUAGAUUCUUCACAUGUGUACAGAAGACUGGGGAGACAAUAGAUCAGUGCGUCACAGAGCUGCAGAACAGGAGUAAAACAUGUGAGUUUGGAGGACUGACAGACUCUUUGAUAAAAGACAGACGUGUGUGUGGGAUUCCAGACAACGGGUUGAGUGAGAGGCUACUGAGAGAGGAAAAUCUUGACCUGGAAAAAGCAUUAACACUGUGCAGAGCAGCUGAAACAGUGAGGGCACAAGCUAAAGAACUGCUGAGUGACAGCUGCAGAGUGGAUGCUGUAAAAAAGAACACACACAGGGUCAAAAAAGAGAGUGCUGCUGCUGAAAUGAAUCUACAAUUGAAAUCGCCAGCGAACAGGGACAGAAAGGAAAAGACUUGUGGUCGCUGCGGGAUGCAACAUCCUCCUAAAAAAUGUUCGGCAUAUGGGAAAAGAUGCAAUAUUUGUAACAAAAAUAACCAUUAUGCUAGGUGCUGCAAAGUUCAAACCCCGAAACAAAGUUCAGUUCAUACGGUGGAUGAAGACGACACAGAGGAGCUCUAUGUAGCUGCAGUGACAGACAGUAAAACAGGAGGAAAGGACUGGAUAAUGACUCUCAAAGUAAAUGACACACUCAUGAAAGUCAAGCUGGAUACUGGAGCUCAAGUGAAUGUCAUAUCUGAAGCAGAGUUCAAGAGAAUCAGACCUAGACCCAAAAUGCAUGCUACGUCGGUGAAAGUGAGUGGAUAUUCAGGUUCAGAAAUACCUGUAAAAGGUAAAUGCAUGGUUAAAGUGACACACAAGGACAAGGAGCACACGCUAACGUUCAUCGUGGUGCCAAAGAAUGUGCAGCCCAUACUAGGGUUGCAUGCCUGUGAGAGUCUGAACCUAGUGAAAAGAGUGCUCGUCGUGGAAACUGAUGAUGACAUGGACUAUAAUGAGUUGAUGAAGGAAUAUGGUGACCUGUUUCAGGGACUUGGUUGCCUUGCUGGAGAACACACAAUCAGAGUCGAUGAAAGGGUUAAACCAGUCAUUCAUCCGUGCCGCAAAGUACCAUUUGCUCUACAAAAGCCACUAAAAGCCGAGUUGGACAGGAUGGAAAACCUGGGAGUGAUUGAAAAGGUUGAUGAACCAACGGAGUGGGUGAGUUCUCUUGUUAUUGUGGAGAAAAAGACGGGAAAGCUCAGGGUUUGCAUGGAUCCUUGA